This 909-nucleotide ribosomal RNA is filed under the name uncultured archaeon. RNAcentral describes it as "partial 16S ribosomal RNA". It matches the Rfam family "Archaeal small subunit ribosomal RNA", at positions 1 to 922 of the family's 1478-position model. The record is from RNAcentral.
UUCCGGUUGAUCCUGCCGGACCCGACUGCUAUUUGGGUGAGGAUAAGCCAUGCGAGUUGGGAUACCUUCCCAUAGCAAACUGCUCAGUAACACAUGAUCAACUUACCCUAUGGAGAAAUAUAACCUCGGGAAACUGAGGAUAAUAUUUCAUAGUUGAAUAGGCUUGGAAAAGUUUUUCAAUCAAAUGGUUAUCUGCUAUAGGAUAGGAUCGUGGACGAUUAGGUUGUUGGUGAGGUAACGGCUCACCAAGCCGAUAAUCGAUAGGGGCCGUGAGAGCGGGAGCCCCGAGAUGGGUACUGAGACAACGACCCAGGCCUUACGAGGCGCAGCAGGCGCGGAACCUCCGCAAUACACGAAAGUGUGACGGGGUUACCCAAAGUGUUCAAUUCUGAACUGUGGUAGGUGAGUAAUGUUCCCUACUAGAAAGGAGAGGGCAAGGCUGGUGCCAGCCGCCGCGGUAAAACCAGCUCUUCAAGUGGUCGGGAUAAUUAUUGGGCUUAAAGUGUCCGUAGCCGGUUUAGUAAGUUCCUGGUAAAAUCGGGUAGCUUAACUAUCUGUAUGCUAGGAAUACUACUAUACUAGAGGGCGGGAGAGGUCUGAGGUACUACAGGGGUAGGGGUGAAAUCUUAUAAUCCUUGUAGGACCACCAGUGGCGAAGGCGUCAGACUGGAACGUGCCUGACGGUGAGGGACGAAAGCCAGGGGAGCGAACCGGAUUAGAUACCCGGGUAGUCCUGGCCGUAAACGAUGCAUACUAGGUGAUGGUAUGGCCAUGAGCCAUAUCAGUGCCGUAGGGAAACCGUUAAGUGUGCCGCCUGGGAAGUACGGUCGCAAGGCUAAAACUUAAAGGAAUUGGCGGGGGAGCACCACAAGGGGUGAAGCCUGCGGUUCAAUUGGAUUCAACGCCGGA